RNAcentral lists this transfer RNA (70 nucleotides) under Aphis solanella. Its description in RNAcentral is "tRNA-Phe". Lineage: Eukaryota; Metazoa; Arthropoda; Insecta; Hemiptera; Aphididae. The record is from RNAcentral.
AUUUAAAUAGCUUAAAAUAGAGCAUUAUAUUGAAGAUUAUAAAUUUAAAAAAUUAUUUUUUAUAAAAAUA